UACGGGGGGUGCGAGCGUUGUCCGGAAUCACUGGGCGUAAAGGGCGCGUAGGUGGUUUGAUAAGGGUGUGGUGAAAGCCCGGGGCUCAACCCCGGGUCUGCCGUGCCGACUGUCAAACUCGAGGGCUGUAGAGGCAGACGGAAUUCCGGGUGUAGCGGUGGAAUGCGUAGAGAUCCGGAAGAAGACCGGUGGCGAAGGCGGCCUGCUGGGCAGUUGCUGACACUGAGGCGCGACAGCGUGGGGAGCAAACAGG
Molecule: ribosomal RNA, 253 nt
Filed under: uncultured bacterium
Lineage: Bacteria
Description: partial 16S ribosomal RNA
Rfam family: Bacterial small subunit ribosomal RNA
Source: RNAcentral